This 105-nucleotide ribozyme is filed under the name Aedes aegypti (yellow fever mosquito). Its description in RNAcentral is "drz-agam-1 ribozyme". It matches the Rfam family "drz-agam-1 ribozyme". Lineage: Eukaryota; Metazoa; Arthropoda; Insecta; Diptera; Culicidae. The record is from Rfam by way of RNAcentral.
UGCCCAGCAACUCCUAUCCCUACCUCCUCGUGGUACUGUCCGGGGUACGAGUAACCUUGGGGAAGAUCGGGUAACCAACCCCCGGUCGUAUGCUGACAGGGAAGG